RNAcentral lists this ribosomal RNA (253 nucleotides) under uncultured bacterium. RNAcentral describes it as "partial 16S ribosomal RNA". It matches the Rfam family "Bacterial small subunit ribosomal RNA", at positions 524 to 776 of the family's 1533-position model. The record is from RNAcentral.
UACGAAGGGGGCUAGCGUUGUUCGGAAUUACUGGGCGUAAAGCGCACGUAGGCGGACAUUUAAGUCAGGGGUGAAAUCCCGGGGCUCAACCCCGGAACUGCCUUUGAUACUGGGUGUCUGGAGUCCGAGAGAGGUGAGUGGAAUUCCGAGUGUAGAGGUGAAAUUCGUAGAUAUUCGGAGGAACACCAGUGGCGAAGGCGACAUCCUGGACCGGUAUUGACGCUGAGGUGCGAAAGCGUGGGGAGCAAACAGG